GAGAAAGGAGCACCAGGCAGGUACCUCUAAAGCAGCAGGGAGUGUGUGACUUCUGAGAAGAGAAAGGGGCAGAUGUACACUGAGGGACUUCAACAUGUGCUGAAACUGUUGCAAGCCAGACUGCUUUCCAGAAGGUUAAGUAAGCCCAGACUGCUGCCAGGAGAGAUCACCUAAUCUGGACAUCUCCUGUGGAAGUGAAAAGGGACUGCUGUGGAGACAACACACAAAGAGCCUUUGUGAUAAACUGUGCCCAGAACAUGAAUACAGCUGCAUGGCUUCAUUGAGGAGACAAAGUCUGCCUCCAGCCAUCCUAGAGGAGCUUUGGAGUCCUGUGGGUACUGGGCUGCUACUACUCUUACAUCAGCUUCACUGCUGACUUCCUAUGUGAUCUUGGAGAAGUUCAUUUUGGACGCAGUUUUCAAAAGCGCUGUUGAAAGUAAGUGAGACUUCUGCUCCUAAGCUCCUUUCAGAGCAUUGUUCUGUGUCUU
This 488-nucleotide long non-coding RNA is filed under the name Calidris pygmaea (Spoon-billed sandpiper). RNAcentral's name for it is "lncRNA (ENSCPGG00000012106.1)". The record is from RNAcentral. Lineage: Eukaryota; Metazoa; Chordata; Aves; Charadriiformes; Scolopacidae.